Non-coding RNA from Microcebus murinus (gray mouse lemur), 840 nucleotides. Lineage: Eukaryota; Metazoa; Chordata; Mammalia; Primates; Cheirogaleidae. The record is from the annotation of a RefSeq genome assembly.
UCUCUGGCCUGGCACAGUCCCCUGAGCAGGGCCCUUUGUGUGGUCCCAGCAGCUGCUUCCUCCCAGGGCUCCCCCAAGGGGCAAAGCAAAGCCCCCUCCUCAGUGUGCAGUGAGAGCUGAGCUCCAGCCCAGGGCUCAGGGAGGGGCUGGGCAGUCCCUGGAUGGAAACACGUUUGCAUGAGCAGCCCCUCCUCUGCAGAGGGUGGGGACAAAAGGAGGCCUGGGCAGCCCAGCCCCACUGUGGGGACCAGGGGCUGUGUGCACCAUGGCCUGGACUCCUGUCCUGCUCGUGCUCCUCUCUCACUGCACAGGUUCCCUGUCCCAGCCUGUGCUGACCCAGCCGCCCUCCCUCUCUGCAUCUCCUGGAGCAUCAGCCAGGCUCACCUGCACCCUGAGCAGUGGCUUCAGUGUUGGCAGUUAUGGUAUAUCCUGGAACCAGCAGAAGCCAGGGAGCCCGCCCCGGUACCUGCUGUACUACCACACAGACUCAGACAAGCACCAGGGCUCCGGGGUCCCCAGCCACUUCUCUGGCUCCAAAGACGCCUCGGCCAAUGCAGGGAUUCUGCACGUCUCUGGGCUGCAGCCUGAGGACGAGGCUGACUAUUACUGUCAUACAUGGGAUGGCAGCGCUAAUACUUACAGAGUGAUCUAGACACACGGGGAAGUGAGACAAAAAUGUCCCCCUGUUCUUCUGGCCCUGUGAUUUCAUCCUUUGCUUGUGGCUCUAACAAGUCUACCUCAGGGGUGACUUCUGUUGUCACAUCUUCUAGCAAUACCUGAUUUAUCUUGGGCAAAUAAAUGUGACAAUGUUAUAUCCUGCUGUUCAACUCAACUUUUGGA